Perognathus longimembris pacificus (Pacific pocket mouse) is the source of this 190-nucleotide small nuclear RNA. RefSeq annotates it as U2 spliceosomal RNA. The record is from RefSeq and is a predicted model, not a curated record. The transcript has a single exon. Lineage: Eukaryota; Metazoa; Chordata; Mammalia; Rodentia; Heteromyidae.
AUUGCUUUUCAGCCUUUUGGCUAGUAUCAACUAUAUUAUCUGUUCUCAUCAGUUUAAUAUCUGUUACAUUCUCUCUCUGUGCACAAUAUUUUGUGGAUUUUGGAAGCCAAGAGAGGGAAAAGAAACUUGAUCUACCCACUCUGUGCAUCUAACUUGCUGUUGUUGUACCUCCGGGAAUGGUCCGACCCAU